UACGUAGGGUGCGAGCGUUAAUCGGAAUUACUGGGCGUAAAGCGUGCGCAGGCGGUUUUGUAAGACAGGCGUGAAAUCCCCGGGCUCAACCUGGGAAUGGGCGCUUGUGACUGCAAAGCUGGAGUGCGGCAGAGGGGGAUGGAAUUCCGCGUGUAGCAGUGAAAUGCGUAGAUAUGCGGAGGAACACCGAUGGCGAAGGCAAUCCCCUGGGCCUGCACUGACGCUCAUGCACGAAAGCGUGGGGAGCAAACAGG
Molecule: ribosomal RNA, 254 nt
Filed under: uncultured bacterium
Lineage: Bacteria
Description: partial 16S ribosomal RNA
Rfam family: Bacterial small subunit ribosomal RNA
Source: RNAcentral